RNAcentral lists this signal recognition particle RNA (300 nucleotides) under Cebus imitator (Panamanian white-faced capuchin). RNAcentral's name for it is "Metazoan signal recognition particle RNA (ENSCCAG00000004570.1)". It matches the Rfam family "Metazoan signal recognition particle RNA". Rfam says of the family: The signal recognition particle (SRP) is a universally conserved ribonucleoprotein. It is involved in the co-translational targeting of proteins to membranes. The eukaryotic SRP consists of a 300-nucleotide 7S RNA and six proteins: SRPs 72, 68, 54, 19, 14, and 9. Lineage: Eukaryota; Metazoa; Chordata; Mammalia; Primates; Cebidae. The record is from RNAcentral.
GCCAGGCGCGGUGGCGAGUGCCUGUAGUCCCAGCUACUCGGGAGGCUGAGGUGGGAGGAUCCCUUGAGCCCAGGAGUUCUGGGCUGUAGUGUGCUAUGCUGAUCAGGUGUCCGCACUAAGUUCAGCAUCAAUAUGAUGACCUUUCGGGAGCGGGGGGACCACCAGGUUGCCUAAGGAGGGGUGAACCAGCCCAGGUCGGAAACGGAGCAGGUCAAAACUCCCGUGCUGAUCAGCAGUGGGAUCGUGCCUGUGAAUAGCCACUGCACUCCAGCCUGGGCAACACAGCGAGACCCUGACUCU